UACGUGAAAUUGUUGAAAGGGAAUGUUUAUGACCAGACUUGGGCUUGGUUAAUCAUCUGGGGUUCUCCCCAGUGCACUUUUCCAGUCCAGGCCAGCAUCAGUUUUCCCCGGGGAGUAGAAGGCGGCUGGAAUGUGGCUCUCUUCGGGGAGUGUUAUAGCCCACCGUGUAAUACCCUGGGGGGGACUGAGGUUCGCGCAUCUGCAAGGAUGCUGGCGUAAUGGUCAUCAACGACCCGUCUUGAAACACGGACCAAGGAGUCGUCUUCGUAUGCGAGUGUUCGGGUGUCAAACCCCUACNCGUAAUGAAAGUGAACGCAGGUGAGAGCUUCGGCGCAUCAUCGACCGAUCCAAGCAGCCAG
This 359-nucleotide ribosomal RNA is filed under the name Fusarium oxysporum. RNAcentral's name for it is "eukaryotic LSU rRNA". It matches the Rfam family "Eukaryotic large subunit ribosomal RNA", at positions 396 to 781 of the family's 3401-position model. The record is from RNAcentral. Lineage: Eukaryota; Fungi; Ascomycota; Sordariomycetes; Hypocreales; Nectriaceae.